GUGAACGCUGGCGGUAGGCCUAACACAUGCAAGUCAAACGGCAGCACAGUAAGAGCUUGCUCUUACGGGUGGCGAGUGGCGGACGGGUGAGGAAUACAUCGGAAUCUACUUUUUCGUGGGGGAUAACGUAGGGAAACUUACGCUAAUACCGCAUACGACCUACGGGUGAAAGUAGGGGAUCUUCGGACCUUGCGCGAUUGAAUGAGCCGAUGUCGGAUUAGCUAGUUGGCGGGGUAAAGGCCCACCAAGGCGACGAUCCGUAGCUGGUCUGAGAGGAUGAUCAGCCACACUGGAACUGAGACACGGUCCAGACUCCUACGGGAGGCAGCAGUGGGGAAUAUUGGACAAUGGGCGCAAGCCUGAUCCAGCCAUACCGCGUGGGUGAAGAAGGCCUUCGGGUUGUAAAGCCCUUUUGUUGGGAAAGAAAAGCAGCAGGUUAAUACCCCGCUGUUCUGACGGUACCCAAAGAAUAAGCACCGGCUAACUUCGUG
Molecule: ribosomal RNA, 491 nt
Filed under: uncultured bacterium
Lineage: Bacteria
Description: partial 16S ribosomal RNA
Rfam family: Bacterial small subunit ribosomal RNA
Source: RNAcentral